UACGUAGGGGGCAAGCGUUGUCCGGAAUCAUUGGGCGUAAAGCGCGCGUAGGCGGCCCGAUCAGUCCGUUGUAAAAGUCCAGGGCUCAACCCUGGAAAGCCGGUGGAUACUGUCGGGCUAGAGUCCGGAAGAGGCGAGUGGAAUUCCUGGUGUAGCGGUGGAAUGCGUAGAGAUCCGGAAGAACACCGGUGGCGAAGGCGGCCUGCUGGGCUAUGGCUGACACUGAGGCGCGACAGCGUGGGGAGCAAACAGG
RNAcentral lists this ribosomal RNA (253 nucleotides) under uncultured bacterium. RNAcentral describes it as "partial 16S ribosomal RNA". It matches the Rfam family "Bacterial small subunit ribosomal RNA", at positions 524 to 776 of the family's 1533-position model. The record is from RNAcentral.